UACGGAGGGAGCUAGCGUUGUUCGGAAUUACUGGGCGUAAAGCGCACGUAGGCGGCUUUUUAAGUCAGGGGUGAAAUCCCGGGGCUCAACCCCGGAACUGCCUCUGAAACUGGAAAGCUAGAAUCUUGGAGAGGCGAGUGGAAUUCCGAGUGUAGAGGUGAAAUUCGUAGAUAUUCGGAAGAACACCAGUGGCGAAGGCGACUCGCUGGACAAGUAUUGACGCUGAGGUG
This 230-nucleotide ribosomal RNA is filed under the name uncultured microorganism. RNAcentral's name for it is "partial 16S ribosomal RNA". It matches the Rfam family "Bacterial small subunit ribosomal RNA", at positions 524 to 753 of the family's 1533-position model. The record is from RNAcentral.